CCGCCCGUCACAUCACGAAAGCCAUCUGUACUAGAAGCCGGUGAUUCAACCGCAAGGAGAUAGCCGUCCAAGGUAUGAAUGGUCGAUUGGGGUG
RNAcentral lists this ribosomal RNA (94 nucleotides) under uncultured bacterium. RNAcentral's name for it is "partial 16S ribosomal RNA". The record is from RNAcentral.